GAUGAACGCUGGCGGCGUGCCUAAUACAUGCAAGUCGAACGAGUUCUCGUUGAUGAUCGGUGCUUGCACCGAGAUUCAACAUGGAACGAGUGGCGGACGGGUGAGUAACACGUGGGUAACCUGCCCUUAAGUGGGGGAUAACAUUUGGAAACAGAUGCUAAUACCGCAUAGAUCCAAGAACCGCAUGGUUCUUGGCUGAAAGAUGGCGUAAGCUAUCGCUUUUGGAUGGACCCGCGGCGUAUUAGCUAGUUGGUGAGGUAAUGGCUCACCAAGGCGAUGAUACGUAGCCGAACUGAGAGGUUGAUCGGCCACAUUGGGACUGAGACACGGCCCAAACUCCUACGGGAGGCAGCAGUAGGGAAUCUUCCACAAUGGACGCAAGUCUGAUGGAGCAACGCCGCGUGAGUGAAGAAGGCUUUCGGGUCGUAAAACUCUGUUGUUGGAGAAGAAUGGUCGGCAGAGUAACUGUUGUCGGCGUGACGGUAUCCAACCAGAAAGCCACGGCUAACUACGUGCCAGCAGCCGCGGUAAUACGUAGGUGGCAAGCGUUAUCCGGAUUUAUUGGGCGUAAAGCGAGCGCAGGCGGUUUUUUAAGUCUGAUGUGAAAGCCCUCGGCUUAACCGAGGAAGCGCAUCGGAAACUGGGAAACUUGAGUGCAGAAGAGGACAGUGGAACUCCAUGUGUAGCGGUGAAAUGCGUAGAUAUAUGGAAGAACACCAGUGGCGAAGGCGGCUGUCUGGUCUGUAACUGACGCUGAGGCUCGAAAGCAUGGGUAGCGAACAGGAUUAGAUACCCUGGUAGUCCAUGCCGUAAACGAUGAAUGCUAGGUGUUGGAGGGUUUCCGCCCUUCAGUGCCGCAGCUAACGCAUUAAGCAUUCCGCCUGGGGAGUACGACCGCAAGGUUGAAACUCAAAGGAAUUGACGGGGGCCCGCACAAGCGGUGGAGCAUGUGGUUUAAUUCGAAGCAACGCGAAGAACCUUACCAGGUCUUGACAUCUUUUGAUCACCUGAGAGAUCAGGUUUCCCCUUCGGGGGCAAAAUGACAGGUGGUGCAUGGUUGUCGUCAGCUCGUGUCGUGAGAUGUUGGGUUAAGUCCCGCAACGAGCGCAACCCUUAUGACUAGUUGCCAGCAUUUAGUUGGGCACUCUAGUAAGACUGCCGGUGACAAACCGGAGGAAGGUGGGGAUGGCGUCAAAUCAUCAUGCCCCUUAUGACCUGGGCUACACACGUGCUACAAUGGAUGGUACAACGAGUUGCGAGACCGCGAGGUCAAGCUAAUCUCUUAAAGCCAUUCUCAGUUCGGACUGUAGGCUGCAACUCGCCUACACGAAGUCGGAAUCGCUAGUAAUCGCGGAUCAGCACGCCGCGGUGAAUACGUUCCCGGGCCUUGUACACACCGCCCGUCACACCAUGAGAGUUUGUAACACCCGAAGCCGGUGGCGUAACCCUUUUAGGGAGCGAGCCGUCUAAGGUGGGAC
Molecule: ribosomal RNA, 1478 nt
Filed under: uncultured organism
Description: 16S ribosomal RNA
Rfam family: Bacterial small subunit ribosomal RNA
Source: RNAcentral